UGAAUACCAGACGCUACGGCGUCGAAGCAGUCUAUGUCAUACUUCCAAGAAAAGCUUGCACUGUCAUAAACAAAGAAUGCCUGUACCAUAACCGACACAGGUGGGUAGGUAGAGUAUACUAAGGGGCGCGAGAUAACUCUCUCUAAGGAACUCGGCAAAAUGACUCCGUAACUUCGGGAGAAGGAGUGCCUUCGUCAGAAGGUUGCAAUAACAAGAUCCAAGCAACUGCUUAUCAAAAACACAGGUCUCCGCUAAGUCGUAAGACGACGUAUGGGGGCUGACGCCUGCCCAGUGCCAGAAGGUUAAAGAAGUUGGUUAGCCUUUGCGAAGCUGAUAACUGAAGCCCUGGUGAACGGCGGCCGUAACAAUAACGGUCCUAAGGUAGCGAAAUUCCUUGUCGGGUAAGUUCCGACCCGCACGAAAGGCGUAAUGAUUUGGAUACUGUCUCGGAGAGGGGCUCGGUGAAAUAGACUGGUCUGUGAGGAUGCGGACUACCUGCACCUGGACAGAAAGACCCUAUGAAGCUUUACUGUAACUUGAAAUUGAAAUUGGACUUUAUUCGCGCAGCAUAGGUGGGGGGCAUUGAAAAUAGUCUUGCGGGAUUAUUGGAGCCAUCAGUGAGAUACCACUCUUGUAAUGUUAGAUUUCUAACUUUGGAUCAUGAUCUGGUCAAAGAACAGUUUCAGGCGGGCAGUUUGACUGGGGCGGUCGCCUCCCAAAUGGUAACGGAGGCGCACAAAGGUUUCCUCUGAACGGGUAGAAAUCGUAUCUAGAGUGUAAAAGCAUAAGGAAGCUUGACUGUGAGACCUACAAGUCGAGCAGGGACGAAAGUCGGUUUUAGUGAUCUGACGGUGCUGAGUGGAAAAGCCGUCACUCAACGGAUAAAAGUUACUCUAAGGAUAACAGGCUGAUCUCCCCCAAGAGUUCACAUCGACGGGGAGGUUUGGCACCUCGAUGUCGGCUCAUCGCAUCCUGGGGCGGUAGUACGUCCCAAGGGUUGGGCUGUCCGCCCAUGAAAGCGGUACGCGAGCUGGGUUCAGAACGUCGUGAGACAGUUCGGUCCAUAUCCGGUGUAGGCGUUAGAAUAUUGAGAGGAGCCUUCUCUAGUACGAGAGGACCGAGAAGGACAUACCUCUGGUGUACCAGUUAUCGUGCCAACGGUAAACGCUGGGUAGCUAUGUAUGGAGAGGAUAACCGCUGAAAGCAUCUAAGUGGGAAGCCCACCUCAAGAUAAGUAUUCUCGU
RNAcentral lists this ribosomal RNA (1244 nucleotides) under metagenome. RNAcentral's name for it is "bacterial LSU rRNA". It matches the Rfam family "Bacterial large subunit ribosomal RNA", at positions 1564 to 2817 of the family's 2925-position model. The record is from RNAcentral.